Xenopus laevis (African clawed frog) is the source of this 1318-nucleotide long non-coding RNA. RefSeq lists it as uncharacterized. The transcript has 3 exons. The record is from RefSeq and is a predicted model, not a curated record. NCBI's taxonomy places the organism in Eukaryota, Metazoa, Chordata, Amphibia, Anura, Pipidae.
UUGCAGGUUUGGGUCCGGGUCUUAGAAAUUGGUUUCUCGCAGGACUCUAGGCCCUACCACAUAGGCAGUGUAUUGGACAAACCACCUAAACAAAUCUGAGCAUGUAUGACCCAGUGCAGAUAGUGGGAAAAGCAACUAUUUGGUUCUAUGGCAUCACAUUUAAAUUUUCAAUAACCUUUUUUUUUGUUUUUCCCAGUAGUUACAACUUUUGAGUAACAUUUGUUACUUUUAUUACUUUAUAGGUUUAUUGCCUAAUUAUGCCAAAAAUCCACAGUUCUGUGUGCUGUGUAAUACCCUGUGGCUUCAGCUACACUCAGAUUACUUGUUAUAUUGUACCACAGGAACAAACACACUAUCUGCGAUGUAGUCAUCUCAUCUUUAUUGGAAUCAAGUAAUAAGCAUGUUCUCUGGAAGCAGGUGAAUCAUCCCUGUUGCUGGGAAAGGUUGGCAAGGGUUCAGUUUGAUAUGCUCAGGAAAUGGAAAAAUGUAACACAGAUACAGGACUUUUUCCAAAUGAAAUCCAACUUCAAUGGAAAAAAAUAUAUCAUUUAAAAAAAAAAAAGAGAUGUUGCUCCGUUGUUUAAUCACAUAUCAUUAAUGUCCUAAUCUAAAAGUACUUUUGGCAUGACAUAGACAGGGUUGUCCAGCUGGAGGCCCAUGGCUCAUUAAGAGGGUAUGUUUAGCCACCAGCAUGCCCAAGAUCUUUCUGAGCAGAAACUAAUUUAUAACUGUAAAUCAAGAAGGUCAACCAAUUACAAAUUAUCUUAGAAUAUCAUUAACUUCCUCUUUUAUUUUUCUCCAUUUACAGGUACUAUUGCAAGCAAAGUCCCCUCAUUGUGAUUACUGCUGGACACCAAUCAGGCAAAAAUGGCAGUUUCAUUUCACUAACUGAACAUUUGUAUUGCUAAACAACAGACUUGUCAGUCAAGUACAAGAGAAGGUUACUAGUAUUAAACACACUGAGUGCUGACAUCACCAACAUACUAACAUGUGUCUCAGGAAGGUGCUGAGUACAGUAUGUGGAAUGGGUCACUCUGGCGUCUCAGGUUUGUGAUUCACUAAGGUUACCAUUCACUUUGUUUAUGAUCACAAUGAACUUUGGACUUUGAAGCUUCAUGGACUUGGAUCGCACUUUAAAUGUUUUAAUAUGAUCACCUGUGUAGUGAUGUCACUUAUUAGGAAGGGAAGGGAAGGGGAGGAGACUCUACCCACACCCCCUCCUCACACUUUAAAAGGUUGAUUACAUGAUUGUUACACCAGGCUUGACAAAGGGCCCGAGUGGUCCGAAACGUUGCCCUUGUCUGUAUGUAUUUGGGUG